UUUAACCCAACUCUCACAUUCACACGCGCUCACAACACUUUUCCAGCAGCCACAACCCACAAACCCCUAACACCCAAAUCCCCCUAAUUCCGUAGGAUGUCGCCGUCUGCCUCACGGCCUCGCCUAAGCCUUGUGUCCAAGCCUCGAUCUAAGUCGGUCGCUGUCGUUGCGCGCUGCACGCCUCGAUCUGAGUCGGUCGCUGCCGCUGCACGCUGCACGCCUCGAUCUGAGUAAGUUGCUGCCGCUACACGCUCGAUCUGAGUCAGUUGCUGUCGAAUCCUCGCCAUCGAAGAAGCCUCUCGCUGUCGAAUCCUCGCCCUCGGAGAAGCCUCGUCUAAGCACUUUAAUUAAAAUGGUCUUGGCAAGCCUUGUUGAAUCCUUUGGCCUUUGUUGAUUCAAUUUAGUUUAAUUUUGAAUAAAUUUCUUUGCUGAUUCGUUUCAUCACUUUAAUUAAAUGCAUUAAUUUUCAAUAUAAUGUAAAUGUUUAAUAGGUUUUGGGAUUAGGUUUUAAUUUGGAAAAUUGUUGAAUUUUUAAAUUAAAAAUUUAAAUGAAAUCUUGGUGAAACCUGUUGUCAUCUGCCGGUUAACAUAGCUAGUCUCUGAAAUAAUUUCUUGAUUCACUAAUUAUGAGUUCAAAUUUGAUGCAGAAUGGGCAACCAGCCUACUGCAAACAAAUCUUCUGGAACAGUUCAGAUGAAGGGACAGCCAAUCCAGCAAAACAGUUAUAAACAACUCUAAAUAAAUUCAUAUACGCAUAGCAGCUAAUUACAGUCUUGAUACUUCAUUAGGUUUUUGUUAAUUUUCUAUACAGUUGUGCUGUGCAUUAAAGUUUUGUUAAAUGAAAUCGGUAGGUGAGGAUUAAUUAAUCAAUUAAUUAAGAUCCAGUUAAUGUAAUUAAUUUUAUUUGAUUUUUUUAAUUCGAGUUCUAAAUUAAUCAAUUAAUUUAGAUUCAUGUGAAAUUGAAGUGAAUUAGUUUCGAUCUGUUUUUCGUCCUAUGUUUGUCUGUG
This 1007-nucleotide long non-coding RNA is filed under the name Citrus x clementina. Its description in RNAcentral is "Citrus clementina (C. clementina) long non-coding RNA (CCLE_LNC002296)". The record is from RNAcentral. Lineage: Eukaryota; Viridiplantae; Streptophyta; Magnoliopsida; Sapindales; Rutaceae.